This 492-nucleotide ribosomal RNA is filed under the name Vitreorana uranoscopa (Humboldt's glass frog). RNAcentral describes it as "partial small subunit ribosomal RNA". It matches the Rfam family "Bacterial small subunit ribosomal RNA", at positions 794 to 1522 of the family's 1533-position model. The record is from RNAcentral. Lineage: Eukaryota; Metazoa; Chordata; Amphibia; Anura; Centrolenidae.
GCUUAGCCGUAAACUUUAAAUUACACCUACAUCGCCAGGGAACUACGAGCAAAGCUUAAAACCCAAAGGACUUGACGGUACCCCAUAUCCACCUAGAGGAGCCUGUCCUACAAUCGAUACCCCCCGCUAAACCUCACCACUUUUAGUCUACUCAGCCUGUAUACCUCCGUCGUCAGCUUACCACGUGAGCGCAAUUUAGUGAGCUUAAUGCCCGUGCGCCAAUACGUCAGGUCAAGGUGCAGCAAAUGAAGUGGGAAGAGAUGGGCUACACUCUCUAAUAUAGAAAAAACGGAAGAUUAUCUAUGAAACCUAAUCUAAAGGCGGAUUUAGAAGUAAAAAGAAAAAAGAAUGUCCUUUUUAACCCGGCACUGGGGUGUGUACACACCGCCCGUCACCCUCUUCAUAGCCACCAAAAAGUAAAUAACCAAUUAAUGCAACACAGAAGAGGCAAGUCGUAACAUGGUAAGUAUACCGGAAGGUGUGCUUGGAAAC